AUACACCGGUUCUCGUCCGAUCACCGAAGUUAAGCAACAUCGGGCGUGUUCAGUACUUGGAUGGGUGACCGCCUGGGAAC
RNAcentral lists this ribosomal RNA (80 nucleotides) under Yponomeuta evonymella (bird-cherry ermine moth). The record is from RNAcentral. Lineage: Eukaryota; Metazoa; Arthropoda; Insecta; Lepidoptera; Yponomeutidae.